GAUGAACGCUGGCGGCGUGCCUAAUACAUGCAAGUCGAGCGAACGGACGAGAAGCUUGCUUCUCUGAUGUUAGCGGCGGACGGGUGAGUAACACGUGGAUAACCUACCUAUAAGACUGGGAUAACUUCGGGAAACCGGAGCUAAUCCCGGAUGAUAUUUUGCACCGCAUGGUUCAAAAGUGAAAGACGGUCUUGCUGUCACUUAUAGAUGGAUCCGCGCUGCAUUAGCUAGUUGGUAAGGUAACGGCUUACCAAGGCAACGAUGCAUAGCCGACCUGAGAGGGGGAUCGGCCACACUGGAACUGAGACACGGUCCAGACUCCUACGGGAGGCAGCAGUAGGGAAUCUGCCGCAAUGGGCGAAAGCCUGACGGAGCAACGCCGCGUGAGUGAUGAAGGUCUUCGGAUCGUAAAACUCUGUUAUGAGGGAAGAACAUAUGUGUAAGUAACUGUGCACAUCUUGACGGUACCUAAUCAGAAAGCCACGGCUAACUACGUG
This 497-nucleotide ribosomal RNA is filed under the name uncultured bacterium. RNAcentral's name for it is "partial 16S ribosomal RNA". It matches the Rfam family "Bacterial small subunit ribosomal RNA", at positions 28 to 507 of the family's 1533-position model. The record is from RNAcentral.